RNAcentral lists this ribosomal RNA (431 nucleotides) under Leptophobia aripa. Its description in RNAcentral is "partial 12S ribosomal RNA". Lineage: Eukaryota; Metazoa; Arthropoda; Insecta; Lepidoptera; Pieridae. The record is from RNAcentral.
AAAAAAUUAAUUAUAUUACUAAAAUAGUAUGUGAUUAUUUAUUGAAACUUAAAUAAUUUGGCGGUAUUUUAGUUCAUUUAGAGGAAUCUGUCUAGUAAUUGAUAUUCCACGAAUAAUUAUAUUUAAUUUAAAAUUUUAUAUAUCGUUGUUAAAAAAAUAUUUUUUAAUAAAAAUAAUAUUUAAAAAUUUAAAUUUAAAAUUAACUCAGAUCAAGAUGUAGAUAAUAAUUAAAAUUAAGAUGGAUUACAAUAUAUUUAUAUAAAUGGAUAAUAAUUUUGAAAUAAUUAUUUAAAAUUGGAUUUAAAUGUAAUUUUAAAUAAUUUUUUAAAAUGAUUUAUAAUUAAAAUAUGUACAUAUUGCCCGUCACUUUCAUUUAAAAAUUGAAAUAAGUCGUAACAAAGUAGAGGUACUGGAAAGUGUUUCUAGAAAGA